UGUGCAUUGUAAAAACAAUUCACGGAUAAGCACAGGGAUUUCACUGUUUUCUGCUAUCUGGAUUUUCCCAAAGAUCCGCUAAAUCCUAAACUUCAUCUUGGUCUGAAGAAGGGCAAGUCCUCUCUCCAGCUCUUCAUUUGCUGACUCUCACUGAUGCAAGAAGAAUGAAGUCUCUUACCUGCCUUCUCCUAGGACAUCCUGGGAGAAACUGUGACUGCUGGUGAUUUUUGCUGUUAAAAUAGCC
This 244-nucleotide long non-coding RNA is filed under the name Homo sapiens (human). Its description in RNAcentral is "non-protein coding lnc-IFI44-2:3". Lineage: Eukaryota; Metazoa; Chordata; Mammalia; Primates; Hominidae. The record is from RNAcentral.